Molecule: long non-coding RNA, 431 nt
Filed under: Triticum aestivum (bread wheat)
Lineage: Eukaryota; Viridiplantae; Streptophyta; Magnoliopsida; Poales; Poaceae
Description: long non-coding RNA (TAES_LNC012074)
Source: RNAcentral
UCAUAGGAAGCCAGCAAAAAAAUUAGUUAGUUUCAAUUUCACCUUGAGUGCAGCUGGCGUUACAUUCAUUUGGAGAUAAGGUAUUACAGGCUUGUGCUUCGUAACCGUGGAAGGAACAACAACAGUCCCAACCUAGUGUGAUGGGAGGUAAUGAUACUGAAAUGCCGACAACAAAGCUACAAGUACUAGUCCAUUACACAUGAUGAAGAAACAUUGGCAGAUCUCAACAAUCAACAAGCAUCGGAACCAUCACUGCGCUUUCUUCUUGGCAUCCUUAGCCUGCCCCUUCUUGCGGAUUUUGAUGCACAUGCUGAGGCGCGUACUGUCCACGAGCGACUCUGGGAGGAGGGAAAUCAAGAACCACAAAACAGAGUGUGGCCAGUACGGUGUGCACCUCGGCUCAUAGCCAAUGUGGCGAAUAGCAGCACGAG